CGAUUUUAAUACAUGCUAGCUUAUGUGCCUUUUAUUUACAAGCCGCUUUUACCUUUGUUUAUUUUAAAAGAAUUGCGAUAUCGUGAAAAUACGUUUCGAACCACGUCGCAAUCAAUGCACCCGUGGUUGUCAACACAUUUCGACUUCGUGAAGAUUUGGAUUUGGGUCACCACGUCGUAAUAUUGUUUUGGGGUAGGCCGUGAAAUUCGCUAAACGGCCUCUCGAUUUCUAAGCACUUUUUCACAUAACAAUUAUUGAGGGCCCCGUAUUUUGUAUUUUUAUUCGGCGAGGCUUGUCUCAUUUUAUUAAUUAAAGAACAAGCCUAAAGUAAUUAUGAUUUUCUACAUUUUUGUCUCUAGUAAUAAAGGGAAAAAAGUCCUAAUUAGCUAUUUUGUUUAAGAAACUAUUAUAGUCAAGUUUAUGAGUUCAUACAAAUUCCCGUCCUCGACCAGCGUGGGCUCGAACACAGCCCGCACAGAAGAAUUACCACACAGAUGGGCAUAAAGAAUAAUCCAGUCAAGCCUGGCCCAGGUCCAAACGAAUAGACAAUUGUACUGAGACUUGGGCAGUUUGUUCGAAUAUCAAGGCCCAAAACUGCCCAGGAUGACUGCUGAGCUAAACGAAUUAAGCUAAAGGCCUGCUGAGAUCAACGCAAAUGGGUCUAAGUGUUUUUUUUUGACAGUUGUAUCCUCAAAUACUAAUAAGGUGAAAAACAAAUUGAAAAAAAAUGAUUUUAUUGACACACAACCUACAGACUACUUUUGGAAUUAGUUUUGACUAACAUUGCUAAUUCAACAUUCAAAUGACAUAUGAAUUUAGAAAUGAACUACUAUGAUUAAGAACGAGACUUAUAGAUUGGUUUUCUACUCAUUAAAAAAAACUGUAAAUAUGCAUGAGGACUUCAGACCUCGAAAUUGCUUCCUGUUUCAAUUAAUCCUUCGACUUCAAUAAUCAAACUACACAGGAAGAAAAUUAAACUAAUUAAAACCAACGAUCAAUUUCCAGCUCAAAAUUGUUGCUCAGUUCGAAAAAGUAUAUACUAAAUACACUAGAUUAACUAUAACUAAUACUGAUCUACAUUUAAUAGUCCAACUAAAUGUAAGAUCCCUAAAUUAAUUAACCUUCAAUUACCAAAUGAUAGUCAACACAGUCUAAAUCAACCUAAGACAGUCCCAAUUAUAUAGUCCAUGUGUGUGUCUGUUAUCCAUAUAACACGGAACAAAUAAUUCACAUCAACUACCUCUACUUAACUACAAAUCUAUAGAAUUGUAAACAACAGAUAGCAUCCAAAUGACCAGAUUAUUUCCAUUUCAACUUCCAUUCACAGCUAGAACAAAGUUAUUCGAAGAAGUGUACCUGGAAAUAGAAAUUUAGUAAGAAGAAAAGGAGAUCAGCACCAAUAGCAAGCAGAAUUCGAACAAUUAGCUCAGAAAUAGGUUCACUAACCCAGGAGAAGUUCGAAACCAAACAACAUCAGAAACUUAACACAAGACCUCUCGAAUAAGCUCUAAAAUACUUGAAAUCGAAUCCAGGAUCUCCAGAAAGCCAAGCACACAACCCAAAAUAGCUCAAACAAUACCAAUCAAUUUCCAACAGUAAGAAUACCAACAUCAAAUGAUCAAAAACAAACCAGAAAAGUGUUUGCAGUCACCCAGAAUGACCAGAUCAACUAAAACCAACUCCCAUGACCCCAAAAUCACUUGAAAACCAACCAAUAAGCCUCGAAAACUCCAGUAAACAGAUAAUGAGGCAUUAGAGGUGCCUUUUAUAGGCUAAAAUGAGGGCAGCCCUGAAAUCUUUAAUUAUACUAUAUGUCCCUCUUUCUUUUCAAUUUGACCAUUCUAUUUCUAGCUUGCUACCCAAGUUACUGCCCUAUAUCUAUUAAAAUCUACGCUAAAGUUAGGAUACUCUUUUAGCAAGACAAUUCCUAUACUACCCUUCCCUUGUUUUAAAAUUACAAUUCCUAAAUAUUCUACCCUUUUCUAUCCCUAAAAAGCCCGUGAAAGCUUCCCAAAAUUACUGAUUCUCCCAAUCCCCCUUUUUACCUAUAAUUACCUAUUUCAGUUAGUUAAACCCACCCCCCUUAACACUAGUUAAACAAAAGGCUCGACUACACAGUAAACCAGAACUACCAAUUAUUCUCAACCACAUUAAUCAAGCAAACACCAAACUAAACGACUAAACAGAAUCAACAUUGCGAACUCAACUAAUCCUAAUCCAACUACAACCAAACGGGCAAAUUAUAGGGAACCAUAUCAGAAAUGAAUCGACUAGUUUACUAAUAAGCCGGAAAAAUCAACAACUAAGCUAACAAAAUUAGAAUUAACCAACUUGAAACAAAACCAAAAUUAAACUAUCAUGAACCAACUAACUAACAGUUAGACUAUGAUCAAACAAGACGAGGUGAAUCAGACAAACAACUAACGCGACUCAGAACACAAGAUGGGACAAAAUCAAAUGCGACUCAAACUAAAAAUUAACCUAUAUGAGAAAGCACAAUUCAAUCCUAAAUUGAACUUCUUAAAUCCGCAAAAUAAUACAAGCAUUUCAAAUGAAAAUUAACAAAACAGUAACAGCCGAGAAACUGAAAGCAACGAAAAAGAAAGAAGAAAGGGGAAGAAGAAAAACGAAACGGGUCUCACAGCUUUAAAAAUUGACUCCAAACUUGAGCGAACUUGGCAAUACUCGAACCUCGCCAAGGGUCGAUUCUUCACGAGGAGACGAGGCGACCUUGGCGUGUUAAUUUGAGACCAAACGGAGGACCCUAAGACUUGAAUGCCAUUUUUGAUCGAAAAUUCGAGACAUUGCAGACUGAUUUGAGGGAAAAUCUUGACGGAUUGGUGAUGAAGCGGAGGAGAAGGUCUGGCAUUGUGAAUUUGGCCCCGUUUGGACGAGUUAGGGUUUUCGCCGGAAAACUUCGAUUGAAUAUUCGACGAGUUUUGUUCUGAUUCGAGGGAUUUCAAGCGUGGGAGUUGAAAGAGGAACGCGAGGAGAAUUGGUGGUGUGAAUUUGGGAUGGUUUGAAGGUGAGGUCGUUCACCGGCGGUGGGGUUCCGGCGAUGGCGAUGAGGGAGUGUACGGAUGUACGAGGAAGAAGAUGUGUCGUUA
RNAcentral lists this long non-coding RNA (3107 nucleotides) under Nicotiana benthamiana. Its description in RNAcentral is "long non-coding RNA (NBEN_LNC040246)". The record is from RNAcentral. Lineage: Eukaryota; Viridiplantae; Streptophyta; Magnoliopsida; Solanales; Solanaceae.